RNAcentral lists this long non-coding RNA (666 nucleotides) under Equus caballus (horse). RNAcentral describes it as "lncRNA (ENSECAG00000054981.1)". The record is from RNAcentral. Lineage: Eukaryota; Metazoa; Chordata; Mammalia; Perissodactyla; Equidae.
CACCCCAUCUGUGACCACCCUUGGCUGGCUGCUGGGGAGGACUUGACAGCCCCCCGAGCAGAAGUGCUGCUCCUCCUCUCACUGGCCUGUUCCCACUGCUGCCCUGCCGGCAUCCAGCUGGCCACCUCCCCGCUGGGCUCGCCUGAGCCCUCCAGCUACACCCUGUGCUUUUCUCUCCGGGACUUGCAGUGCCCGGCACACGGAGCUAAAGGCAGCGUGAACCCCAGCUUUGUUUAUCAUCCACUUGGCAUGAAACGGCCUCCACAAACAAUAAGGCGUCCAAGUUCCACACGAGGAAGACAGCGUCAGAAAACCCUCUGCACCACCACUGAAGACCAGUGUUCUUCCUCAGGCAUGGGGACAGGGACACCAGAGCAACUCUGGUGAGGUCCCGCAAGUGAAGGGUGAGCUGGGUGUGACAGGAGGAUGUGGUGUGCUCGACCACAAUCCCGUCAGCCUUCAGGGUUGCUCGAUGAGGCCAGAGCAUCGUGAGAAAGUGAAACGGAAGAUUUAACAAGGCCGCCACCUCGAGGAUGCUCAACACAAUGCAAGAUGAACUGGACACACGCAGCCUUCAAGUGGCUAGUGACCUCCUCCACUAGGAAGGCACCUGGGAUUCCAUCAAGGGUCAGGGAACAGACCGUGUACCGGCAUCAUGGCCUUGAG